Molecule: ribosomal RNA, 181 nt
Filed under: Clostridium cadaveris
Lineage: Bacteria; Bacillati; Bacillota; Clostridia; Eubacteriales; Clostridiaceae
Description: partial 16S ribosomal RNA
Rfam family: Bacterial small subunit ribosomal RNA
Source: RNAcentral
UUUAAAUUGAGAGUUUGAUCCUGGCUCAGGAUGAACGCUGGCGGCGUGCUUAACACAUGCAAGUCGAGCGAGAGAGCACCUUCGGGUGUGAACUAGCGGCGGACGGGUGAGUAACACGUGGGCAACCUGCCUUACAGAGGGGGAUAGCCUUCCGAAAGGAAGAUUAAUACCGCAUAUUAUG